GUUUAUGGCCAUACUACCCUGAACGCGCCCGUUCUGAUCGCAUCUGGUCUCGGAAGCUAAGCAGGGUUGGCCUGGUUAGAACUUGGGUGGGAGAAUGGGUCCACGUAGCAUUGCCGACC
This 119-nucleotide ribosomal RNA is filed under the name Castor canadensis (American beaver). Lineage: Eukaryota; Metazoa; Chordata; Mammalia; Rodentia; Castoridae. The record is from RNAcentral.